AACGAACGCUGGCGGAAUGCUUUACACAUGCAAGUCGAACGGUAGAGGGGGCAACCCCUCGAGAGUGGCGAACGGGUGAGUAAUAUAUCGGAACGUGCCCAGUCGUGGGGGAUAACGUAGCGAAAGUUACGCUAAUACCGCAUACGAUCUACGGAUGAAAGCGGGGGAUCGCAAGACCUCGCGCGAUUGGAGCGGCCGAUAUCAGAUUAGGUAGUUGGUGGGGUAAAGGCUCACCAAGCCAACGAUCUGUAGCUGGUCUGAGAGGACGACCAGCCACACUGGAACUGAGACACGGUCCAGACUCCUACGGGAGGCAGCAGUGGGGAAUUUUGGACAAUGGACGCAAGUCUGAUCCAGCCAUUCCGCGUGCAGGAUGAAGGCCCUCGGGUUGUAAACUGCUUUUGUACGGAACGAAAAGGUUUCCAUUAAUACUGGGAGCUCAUGACGGUACCGUAAGAAUAAGCACCGGCUAACUACGUGCCAGCCGCCGCAGUAA
This 496-nucleotide ribosomal RNA is filed under the name uncultured bacterium. Its description in RNAcentral is "partial 16S ribosomal RNA". It matches the Rfam family "Bacterial small subunit ribosomal RNA", at positions 29 to 523 of the family's 1533-position model. The record is from RNAcentral.